RNAcentral lists this ribosomal RNA (229 nucleotides) under uncultured bacterium. RNAcentral describes it as "partial 16S ribosomal RNA". It matches the Rfam family "Bacterial small subunit ribosomal RNA", at positions 568 to 796 of the family's 1533-position model. The record is from RNAcentral.
UGCGUAGGCGGAAUGAUAAGUUAGGGGUGAAAGCCCCCGGCUCAACCGGGGAACUGCCAUUAAUACUGUCAUUCUUGAGUAUAGUUGAAGUGGGCGGAAUGUAUCAUGUAGCGGUGAAAUGCUUAGAUAUGAUACAGAACACCGAUAGCGUAGGCAGCUUGCUAAACUAUAACUGACGCUCAGGCACGAAAGCGUGGGGAGCAAACAGGAUUAGAUACCCUGGUAGUCC